Long non-coding RNA from Apis dorsata (giant honeybee), 1056 nucleotides. RefSeq lists it as uncharacterized. The record is from RefSeq and is a predicted model, not a curated record. The transcript has 3 exons. NCBI's taxonomy places the organism in Eukaryota, Metazoa, Arthropoda, Insecta, Hymenoptera, Apidae.
GUAUACACGUACGAGCACGCACAUAGAUGCGAUCGCGUAUCGGUUCUCUCCCUGUUUCUCUUGCUCUUUUCUCCAUUUUCCUCUGUCGAGCGAGCUUUCGCUAGCUCCGUACGUACGAACGUGCGGCUUAACCGACAUCGUAAUCUUCAUCCCAGAAGCAGACCUGUGUUUUCCUGCCGUUUUCCAAACAGUGGAAUAGUUUCAAAGUUGCGAAUCGUGCCUGGUCCAUCUUCCGACGAUGAUGCGACAGUGAUACAAGCGAUAAUCGAUGAUCGCCAAAUGCGAUUACGAGAUCCGUUACGAGUGAGCUCUCUUGACCAAUCGCGGAUGGAUCACGAGUCUUGGGGACAAUUCAAACCGUACAAGUGCAAUCAGUGCGCGACAUUCCGUGAAUGUAACUGCAAUUUCGAAACUGGAAGAUAUUCUCCUCGUAUACGAUAAUAAAUAGUUGCGUUCUUCGUGAUCAGUAGUGUAUACGGGCACCGAUGUAGGUGCGACACGUUGUAGAAAACGAGAAUCGAUAAGUCAACAGCGAAAUGGAACCGAUCGUUGAAACGCCGAACCCGACCACUAAACGAUUUAUCGAAAUCGCGAUGAGGUAGUGCUUAACGGAUAACGCGCGUGUGGGUGACUGUAGUGCACAUAUAAGGGAAACUUUGAACAGUUUCCCGCGGAAGAUCUACACCGGAUCUUCGGGCGAAAUUUCAACACACGACCGUCACAUGUUUGGGAUCCGAUCGACUACGUUUAACGAGCCAAGACCUGGAGGCCACAGAGAGAAUCGAACAUCUCCGAAGGACGCAGAUGCCCCGAAGGAAACAGCACGCUCCACAACGUAUGAAAUGUAAGUAGUGGUCUCCGAUCGUUUGAAAAGCGAGCGGCCCGCAGCCGCCGCACCGGACGGGAGACAUGCGCAGCAAGCAGCAGCCGAGGCCUUCCUUUCGGUGGCCGCAGCAACGCGGCGAUAAUCUUACCGGUAAAUAUCCCAACCACACGCAACGCAUCAGCACGCACGAGAGCACGCACACGCACACGCAUCCACCUUACUUGCACGUA